Nicotiana tabacum (common tobacco) is the source of this 1458-nucleotide non-coding RNA. Lineage: Eukaryota; Viridiplantae; Streptophyta; Magnoliopsida; Solanales; Solanaceae. The record is from RefSeq and is a predicted model, not a curated record.
GUGAUUCAGGUUCGGCCAUGCAAAUAGCGUGGGUUAUAGUAUACAAAAUCUGAGAAUUGAGUGGAAUUCUAGUUUUAUGGCCCAAAAACACUAAAAACUGAGGAACGGUCAUGACGAUGCGAUAAUUAUUUUAUGGGCCGGUAAAAUUUUAGGCGAUAAUUAUCAUGGUGCAAUGAGCUAUCUGUUACAAGAUGAGGAAGGACAAAUUAUUGGACCUUACUCAAUAGGUGUGGGGUAAGUUUUCACUUUAAUUUUAAGCGUAGGGAUAAUUUUAAUCAAGAGAGCUCAAUUAUAUAGAAUGUCAUUUUCAGCUCAAGUAAGGAAUAAAAGAACAUUUUUUUUUUGAGCCAUCUGGUAUAUGUAAUCAACUGACUCGGCUACUUUAGAUCCGUGUUGUAUAGGGCAGUGGCGAAGCCAUUCUUUGCCAUAGGGUGUCAAUUGAUACCCCUUUGCUAGAAAUUUACAUUGCAUAGAUAGGUAAAAAAAUAUGUUUAUAUAUAUAUAAUAUAUGUUGACUCCCUUUGCCUUUUUGCAUGUUUACUUUUUAUGUUUUGACUAAGCCGCUGGCAUAGGAAAAGCACUCCCUAUAAGGAAUUUUUCUAUUUAGAGGGAACUCAAUACCUCUAGUUAAGGGUGGAGGAAUCUCUUCCAAUCCACCACAUCCUGUAGUGACAUGGAGCAUAUAUGUGGAUUGAUAAACCAAGUUCAAUUGAUAAAAAUAUUUUUUUAUUAAUAAGAUCACCUAUAAAGUAAUUAUAUGUAAAUAUCCUUAAUGCGUUAAUGGGUAACCUGAUAAAAUUGACAACUUAUUUGCUAUCACGGCUUAAACUAUAUCAUUGAUAGUAUAUUAAAAAAAAUCUUUAACGUUAGCUAUACAUAAUUUAAGUUUUAUCCUUGCUAUAAAUGAGUAUUCAAUGUAACCUUCCAAAUUUAAUGCAAUUAAUAUUGUUGAAUAUGCAGAUUAGAGUACCCAGGUGUUAGCCCAGAGCUUAGCUUUCUAAAAGAUAUCGGGCACGCAGAGUUUUAUACUGUCACAGAUGAACAAGCCUUAGAAGCAUAUAAACGGUUGUGCAGGCUAGAAGGGAUAUUCCUAGCCUUGGAAGCUUCUCACGCACUUGCAUUUCUUGACAAACUUUGCCCUACUCUAGAGGAUGGUGAGAAAGUGGUUGUUAAUUUAAGCGGCCGCGGAGAUAAGGAUGUUACCAUAGUCUUCAAUCAUACUACAAAGGAUGAAUGAAUAAAUGAAUGAACCAACAACGAAUUACUACAUUAAUGAAUUGAUGUGUAUAUUGUAAUUUGUAAAAAGAGAAAGAGAUAUACAUAACUGUCAACUUAGCAAGUAGGAUCACAAAUCAAAUUAAGAGAUAUUCUAGUACCUAAGUAAGUCAGUGACAAUAUUUUCAAAGGUGUUUCACAACAUUGCUAUAUCCAUAAAAAGAUAGUAGUAGUUAAUUUUAA